RNAcentral lists this ribosomal RNA (592 nucleotides) under uncultured Gammaproteobacteria bacterium. RNAcentral describes it as "bacterial SSU rRNA". It matches the Rfam family "Bacterial small subunit ribosomal RNA", at positions 25 to 614 of the family's 1533-position model. Lineage: Bacteria; Pseudomonadati; Pseudomonadota; Gammaproteobacteria. The record is from RNAcentral.
CAGAUUGAACGCUGGCGGCAGGCCUAACACAUGCAAGUCGAACGGUAACAUUUCUAGCUUGCUGGAAGAUGACGAGUGGCGGACGGGUGAGUAAUGCUUGGGAACUUGCCUUUGCGAGGGGGAUAACAGUUGGAAACGACUGCUAAUACCGCAUAAUGUCUUCGGACCAAACUGGGCUUCGGCUCCGGCGCAAAGAGAGGCCAAAGUGAGAUUAGCUAGUUGGUAAGGUAACGGCUUACCAGGGCGACGAUCUCCAGCUGUUCUGAGAGGAAGAUCAGCCACACUGGGACUGAGACACGGCCCAGACUCCUACGGGAGGCAGCAGUGGGGAAUAUUGCACAAUGGGGGAAACCCUGAUGCAGCCAUGCCGCGUGUGUGAAGAAGGCCUUCGGGUUGUAAAGCACUUUCAGUUGUGAGGAAAAGUUGGUAGUUAAUACCUGCUAGCCGUGACGUUAACAACAGAAGAAGCACCGGCUAACUCCGUGCCAGCAGCCGCGGUAAUACGGAGGGUGCGAGCGUUAAUCGGAAUUACUGGGCGUAAAGCGCACGCAGGCGGUUUGUUAAGCUAGAUGUGAAAGCCCCGGGCUCAACC